GCUCCUGCCAACCGCGUUGCUGGUAAGUGAUUGCUGGUAGGGAUUAUUGAAUGUCCAUUGGAAACAAAAUGCAGUCAAUCUUUCCAGCAGUCAUUGUUACUCUACCCCUUAAUAGACCAGAGAAGCUAUGACACUGUAUUCCCAGCAACAAAAAUGCUUACGUUCCGAAUUGGGCGAAUCGUUAGGAUGAUGAAAUACGUCCCCGUUCCCGGCGACCGAGGAAUUCCUCCUACCCCUCAAGAUCCCUACUUUCAUGGAUCUCUAAGUUGCACUCUUCUGAUAUUCUUGGGCAUGUCGAGAUGAUUCGCUUGAUGAAAAGACAGCAUUUUAACCAUUAACCCAAGGCAUAAGAGAACUAGUAAUACAUAUGUUCCCUUAAGAGUGAAAUGAUUGGCCAAGUAACUUUUACUUUCCGGCCUGUUCAACUCGACAAGCAGAUUCGUUGGGGUCUUAAAACCCCCUAAGGGAGGGUUUCUCGAACCUAACUCGAGGCUUGCGGAUGCAAGAAGGGAAGUGGCUUGUUCCCGUGGUAUAUACGAUUUUUGUUAUAAAGUUUGAGUCCUUCCCUAUUUGAAGCUCAUUCGACGAAUUUUGCUUAGAUAGAUUGUAUAUAAAGAUUC
RNAcentral lists this small RNA (620 nucleotides) under Histoplasma capsulatum var. duboisii H88. RNAcentral describes it as "Histoplasma capsulatum H88 hypothetical RNA". Lineage: Eukaryota; Fungi; Ascomycota; Eurotiomycetes; Onygenales; Ajellomycetaceae. The record is from RNAcentral.